CUCACCAUGAGCAGGAAGACGUGUCUUCGGCGUCCACUUCAAACUUUAUAUAAUGGCAGUAAAAAAGAGUCUCAGGUCGCCCUCCUUCCCUCCAGGAGCAUGAAGAAGUGCAGAGAGAGACUUUAAAGAGUAACUCACUUGGAGGCCUUCUGGUCUCUUUGCCAUGAUGAAGAAACUGAAGAUGACUUUCUUUGAACAUUGGUUUCAUUGGAGAACAUCAAAGGCUGGUGCAGGUGAGACUGAAGACCUUCGAGCCAGCUGCAUAAAGAUCAAAAUCCUCCAAGGAUGCUCUUGAGUGAGACCUCAUCAAGUCUGGUGUGAAAUGAGAGACUGGUGAGCUCAGGAGUCUAACCCUCAAGGGAUGUUGAGUCUCGGAGGUCAAAGUUGUGGCUGGGCAGGACCUCGCUGGAUGUAAGAGCUGGUGUGAAAUGAGAGACUGGUGAGCUCAGGAGUCUAACCCUUGAGGGAUGUUGAGUCUCGGAGGUCAAAGUUGUGGCUGAGCAGGACCUCGCUGGAUGUGAGAGCUGGUGAAAUGAGAGACUGAGCUCUGGAGUUGAAUCCUCGAAAGAUGUUGAGUCUCGGAGGUCAAAGUUGUGGCUGAGCAGGACCUCGCUGGAUGUGAGAGCUGGUGUGAAAUGGUAGACUGAGCUCUGGAGUUGAAUCCUCGAAGGAUGUUGUGUCUCGGACCUCGCUGGAUGUGAGAGCUGUUUGACUCUGCAACGCUGAGAGUGACUCUUAAUCUUGCCGAUGACUGACGGUGAUCCAUUUAUUUCACUGGAGUCUCAAACACAUCGUGCAGAUGUUGUUGCCAGCCAGAAAACUGCUGCUCCCUCAAGACUGUAUAUGAACCCUGUUAGAAAUAUGAGACACUGUUGGAUUAGCUUCUGCAGAAACAGUAUACUGUGUGCUCGGAUCAGAGCCCCAGACACGGAGGAUAAUCUGAGGGUGACGCAUCACGACUGUGAUAGUGGUGCUUUGAUACUCGAGGAGCUUUAUUACAUCACUGUGAUCAUAACUCUACACUGAAUAAAUAUUUACUGUU
This is a long non-coding RNA of Scomber scombrus (Atlantic mackerel), 1042 nucleotides long. RefSeq lists it as uncharacterized. The record is from RefSeq and is a predicted model, not a curated record. Lineage: Eukaryota; Metazoa; Chordata; Actinopteri; Scombriformes; Scombridae. The transcript has 9 exons.